Molecule: long non-coding RNA, 1113 nt
Filed under: Mus spicilegus (steppe mouse)
Lineage: Eukaryota; Metazoa; Chordata; Mammalia; Rodentia; Muridae
Description: lncRNA (ENSMSIG00000018568.1)
Source: RNAcentral
CAGCUUACUCAGCCACAAUGAAAUCAGAAAGAAAUCUGAAGGAGCCUCCUCCACCCCUUUCUCCUUUAAAUUGGCCAGCAGCUAACUCUUCAAUAUUUAUGACCGCUCUCUGAAAAUGCAUGAUUGUUCUGCUGGAAAAUAAGAUUGCCUUGAGCAGAGUUGCAGGAAAUGUGAUUUGAAAAUCCAAGUCAAUGAUGUCCACAACUCGAAUAGGUAUAUGAUGACUGAUGCAGAGAGAAGAGUCAGCGCUGAUCAAUGGGCUGCUUCAUUCAGGAAAGCGCUUUCAAGUUAUCAUAACAUUCAAGAUGGUUUGCCUUUGCACCUACAUCUACAAACAUUGGAAACCAGAGAACAAGGACUGUGUGCAUGAUACAACUGAUGGAAGCCCCAUUGAUCAACUAUGGGAUUCUACCUUCAGAACAUAAGAAGGUCUAAGGCUUUUGCCCAGGCUGGACCUCAGCAAAACUCAUGUAACUUCCGCCUUCUGAGUUCUGGCCAACACUAAGGAGCUAUGUGUCCCCUACCUGUGUCUCUUUGGAUUUGUUUCCAUCAUCCUCAUCACCCUCCUUCCCUGUCAUGAAGUCGGAAGGCAAUAUUCCCUAUUGCGGUCCGCCCAAAUCCACUUUGCUUUGCUUUACUUUGUCAGGAUAGGCGGUUCCCAAUUAUACCCUUCCCCCGUGAGGGCUACAAGACGCUGGAAGGCUUGCCCUCUCAGUGUUACCUGAAGUUUUAGGAUAAAGGUCUGAGCUCUGGGAUUCCCAACAACGUCGACUCAGCCACACACUUUCAAUAUACCAGUGAGAGAUAUGAGUGAAAAGUAGGAAAGGAAAUUGGCCAUGUUAAAGGAGAGACCACCAAAGGGGCCUACUGACCCCCAGUCUAUCUGGGGCUCUAAGAUGAGGCUUAGGUUUGAAAGAGGAUCAUGAAGUUAAACAGAACCAGCCACGGGAGACUGCUCAUUGUUGAAUCAUCUUUCGUCUAGUCUUUCUUGCUAAGUGGUCAGAUAUGCUGUGAAAUUCCUUGGGGGGGGGGGACAAAUGCAAUUUUUUGACAAGCACAAAGGCUCCCUCCUUUCCUGUCUCCCAACAUGGUGUUCCUAGGAAAGUGUCAAUU